Molecule: unclassified non-coding RNA, 277 nt
Filed under: Hevea brasiliensis (rubber tree)
Lineage: Eukaryota; Viridiplantae; Streptophyta; Magnoliopsida; Malpighiales; Euphorbiaceae
Source: RNAcentral
AGUUUAUAGCUUGCGAAGAAAUUGCUUUGCAAAUGAAUCACUAGGCUAGGAUGGGACAACAGACAAACAAAAUUCUAUUGGUGAUAUGAUAGCAAAUGAUGUUCUGUAUAACUAUUUCUCUCAAUCCAUUUGUUAAAUGCAUUGAUGCUUCUGCCAUCUCAAUUAUAAAGCAUCACCUGCAUAAACUGAAAGACUGCUGGUCCCUUAAAAAUUACUCUCCCAUGCGCAGCAGGGUGGUAUUAGAGCCAGUAGUUAGUGGCUAGGAGAGGGGCUAAGG